Molecule: long non-coding RNA, 237 nt
Organism: Drosophila innubila
Lineage: Eukaryota; Metazoa; Arthropoda; Insecta; Diptera; Drosophilidae
Exons: 2
Source: RefSeq, a predicted model, not a curated record
UUGAUUGAUUGAGUAGAAAAACGUAGAAAGCAUUUGCCAAAUUGUUGGGAUACAAAGUCGAAUCAAGAGAGUUGUGCGAUGAGAAGGCGCCUAGGAAAUAACAAUCAACAAAUCACAAAUCACACAUUUCACACCCUAUAGCCGAAUUUUUUGAUCAAGCUCAGCAUUAGACGGCGCUCGUAUAUAUACAUAUAUAUACCCACAUCAAAUCUAUAGUGCAUCUCUAAUAACAAAAAA